AACUUAAGGAAUACUGCCAGUGACAAACUGGAGGAAGGCGGGACGACGUCAAGUCAUCAUGGCCCUUACGACCAGGGCUACACACGUGCUACAAUGGUCGGUACAAAGGGUUGCUACCUAGCGAUAGGAUGCUAAUCUCAAAAAGCCGAUCGUAGUCCGGAUUGGAGUCUGCAACUCGACUCCAUGAAGUCGGAAUCGCUAGUAAUCGCGGAUCAGAAUGCCGCGGUGAAUACGUUCCCGGGCCUUGUACACACCGCCCGUCACACCAUGGGAGUUUGUUGCACCAGAAGUAGGUAGUCUAACCGUAAGGAGGACGCUUACCAUGGUGUGGCCGAUGACUGGGU
RNAcentral lists this ribosomal RNA (344 nucleotides) under uncultured bacterium. RNAcentral describes it as "bacterial SSU rRNA". It matches the Rfam family "Bacterial small subunit ribosomal RNA", at positions 1136 to 1480 of the family's 1533-position model. The record is from RNAcentral.